Molecule: long non-coding RNA, 2967 nt
Filed under: Zea mays
Lineage: Eukaryota; Viridiplantae; Streptophyta; Magnoliopsida; Poales; Poaceae
Description: long non-coding RNA (ZMAY_LNC004695)
Source: RNAcentral
CUAUAUAAUAGGAGUUCUGUACAAAAUAAAUAAAUAAUUACAUUUUAAGGAGACAACGGUCCAACAACCCAAAGUUGACUGGGAGACGACGACCUAGACCUCUCACGAACUCGUCACAACAUCCUCCAUGCGCCUCAUCCAGCGGUACCUGUUCUUGACCUGUGGGGGUGUGAGACAGCAAGAGUGAGCUCACAUACGUUCAUCGCUCAACAAGUUGUGGGGAAUAAUGUUCAUGAACUCGCCAAAAGUGGGAGCUCAUGCGAAGUGUAAAGCUUACCAAAGAAGAUGGUUGAAGCUGAGCAUUGCUUUUAAAGUUGGUCAAAAUUUUAUCAGUAAUUACUAAGUAUAAGUAAAUACCAACCCUAUUAAGUAGUAGAACAAAAGUGAUAACAACACCUGCAAUGUAAUGCAUAUGACAAAUUGAAUUUAGUUUCAUAAGUUAAUCAUGUGAGGGUCCGAGUUGCUCGACCGUGAGCACAACUAGUAUACCAGUUUUACACUCUGCAGAGGUUGCACAUCUUUACCCACAAGUCAUGUUACCCAUCUGCCAAGGGAUCGUGACUUCCCAUACACCUCUACCGAGGAGGCGAGGCAUGGUAACACUACGAGGCCUUUACAAAGUUCCACUAGCUUCAGAAUACCCGCUACAUUUUAUAGGAAGCUCCAGUGCAGGGAUCCCUCGCCUGACCGCCAUCGCAGCAAAAUUGAAAGGGAAAUAGGGUCAAACCUUUUCCUAAAUAAUUUUGGUGGUUGAAUUGCCCAACACAAAUAAUUGGACUAACUAGUUUGCUCUAGAUUAUGAGUUCUACAGGUGCCAAAGGUUCAACACAAACCAAUAAAAAGUCCAAGAAAGGGUUUAAAUACAAAGGAGCAAAACCAACCAAAGGUUGUCCUGGUCUGGCGCACCGGACUGUCUGGUGUGCCACCGGACAGUGUCCGGUGCACCAGGGAGAAUCACUCCGAACUCCUCGGCUUCGGGUUUCUAGAAAAUGUUCUCCGCUAUAAUUCACCGGACUGCCCGGUGUGACACCGGACUUUCCGGUGUGCUAGGCGGAGUAACGGCUACAGCGCCAACGAUCAUCUGCACCACCGGACUGUUCGGUGGCCCAGCUAUCAGAAGCUCCAACAGUCGAACCCUAACGGUUGGGUGACGUGGCUGGCGCACCGGACUAUCCGGUGCGCCCGUCGACAGCAGCCAUCCCCAACGGCCACUUUGGUGGUUGGGGCUAUAAAUACCCCCCCAACCACCACACUUCAAGGGAUCCAAGUUUUCAGCCAACACAUUCAAUACAAGAGCUAGUGCAUUCAAUACAAGACACAAAUAGAUUGAAUCAAAAUCUCUCCAAGUGACUUUCAAAAUUCCGCCUAUUCACCCCUAUUCACCCCUUAUAAAUUUCAGAUUCCGCCUAUUCACCCCCCUCUAGGUGACUUUCAAAAAUCAACCCAAGGACAUCCCUACACUGAUCACUCCCCUAUUGCCCUUGCCCCUUUCAGGUAAGGUAGUCAUCCACUAGCUUUCCUAAUUAAUCAGCCAAGGGGUCCCAUUCCUCCCUUGUGGUAGCUUUGUUUUCCCGGGUGGUCGCUCCAUGUUCUAAUUUACACAAUGAUCUUAGCAUGAACAGUAAUAAUAAAUUGAUAGUAAAAGUGUAAUCAUGAAUAAUAUAUCUCCAUACCCAAAACCACAUAAAGCAAUAGCAGGUACUACCCAAAAAUUCGGUAGUGAACAAGGUAUAAAGAUAGUCAAACUAGGGUAACCUAUUGGGUCCCAUCAAAAUUAACUGAUGUAGAUUAUUAUGAUUAAUCAGAACAUGACUGGGUAAAAAGAAGUGAUCAAGCGCACAACUUGCCUGGGACUUGAGAUUCUAGGUACCAACUUGCUCUUCAUAUGACACGUGUCCUCACUGCUAAACGUAGCGAUACAGAUAAACAUGGUAUAGGCAAAAUUAACUUCACACCAAACAUAAGAAUAAACUGCAUAAUAAUAAUCUACACGCUGCUACAAGAUCGUGGGUUCGAGAACCGCUAAAUUCGGAGUUACGGUGAUAAAGUUAUGAUUUUUCCGAAGUUAUUAAAUACUUGGCACGUGAUAAAUUAAGUAAACAAUUUUAAUCUAUGUUUCAUGUCUAAACAGAGUUACUAGGUGAUAAACAAUAUUGAAACAAAAUUAAUGCAACUAGAAUGGAUUAAUUUGGAGUUAAAAUAAAUUUAAUAUGAAUUUAGCAAGUUCCUAGAAUUAUUUUUGUACUAAAAAUCCUUUUCCCAUAUUAAUUACUUGAUUUAAUCAAUCCCUGGGCUGCGGCCACAAUUCCAGAGAAGUCUAGGGUCAAGUUUGGAAAUUUCCAGGACCUGAGUUUAAUGUUCUAACACUACGCAUAGACUGCGGGUUGAAUAUGCCAAAGAAUAGGGGCUCUUUAGCAAAAGAUCCCGGCCAAAGGGGUAUCACAUGUUGUGAGCCAUCCGAUCUAACGCCGACGGACCCGAUUAGAUCAACCACACCCGAACCGGUACACCAUCAGGGAUCUUGGAUCCCGGAUCCGUGGUCGAGAUUCGGCCACGCUAUAGACUAAUCUCCCCCCCCCGCUCAGCCUAGAUCCAACGAAUCAGAUCAACGGUCCCCCGCGAUCGCACCGGAACCGCACGAUCGCGAUCGACCGCUCAGAUUCGCUCAGGGCGAAUCGUUUCAUGGAUUCCAUCUCCAUCGUAUACUCCGGGAUCAACGGUUCACCGCUCACCAUCCCCACCCCGCGGCUGGCCUGGCGGAGCAGUGCCCCCACGGUGGCAGUGGCCUCACCGGAGAACUCAAUACCGACAGACCAGUCCUUAAUCGAUCAGACGAGGUUCUCUAUGCAUCUAUUAGGGGAUUGUGAAGCACGAGGAAGUAAUCAUACCACGUUUUUUGGGCGUCAGUGGUACUAACCACGGCAGACAGCGGAUCGUCGGCACCGACCCAACAUCGAUGACGAAUUG